This 231-nucleotide unclassified non-coding RNA is filed under the name Hevea brasiliensis (rubber tree). Lineage: Eukaryota; Viridiplantae; Streptophyta; Magnoliopsida; Malpighiales; Euphorbiaceae. The record is from RNAcentral.
UUUGUAUGUGGUUUCUGGCACUCUCGACUAAUUGAACCUAUUCGACAAGUUUCAAUUUUCAGAUUCAAUGUACUUCUAUAAUUUUCUCUAUGCACUCCAAAGGUCUUGGUUGAAAAGUAUAAUUUUCGCUUGUUUGACACCAUCAGAAGUGUUAAGCAGAUCCUUAAUCCUAGGACAUUUUGUGUGUGUGUCUGUGCAUAUGCAUGUUCACAUGAGAGAGAGAGAGAGAGA